AGAGUUUGAUCCUGGCUCAGGAUGAACGCUGGCGGCGUGCCUAACACAUGCAAGUCGAACGUGAAACCUUCAUUGAUUACUUCGGUAUGAUCUGUUGGUGGAAAGUGGCGAACGGGUGAGUAACACGUAGGUGACCUGCCUCGAAGUGGGGGAUAACCAUUGGAAACGAUGGCUAAUACCGCAUGGCUUUGUUAGAGUGGGAACUUUGACAAAUAAAGCUCUGGCGCUUUGAGAGGGGCCUGCGUCCGAUUAGCUAGUUGGUGGGGUAAUAGCCCACCAAGGCGACGAUCGGUAGCUGGUCUGAGAGGACGAUCAGUCACACGGGAACUGAGACACGGUCCCGACUCCUACGGGGGGCAGCAGUGAGGAAUAUUCGGCAAUGGGGGCAACCCUGACCGAGCAACGCCGCGUGGAGGAUGAAGGCCCUUGGGUCGUAAACUCCUUUUCUGUGGGAAGAGAAAAAGGACGGUACCACAGGAAUAAGUCACGGCUAACUACGUGCCAGCAGCCGCGGUAAUACGUAGGUGGCAAGCGUUAUCCGGAAUUACUGGGCGUAAAGCGUACGCAGGCGGUUGAUUAAGUCUGACGUGAAAGCUCCUGGCUUAACUGGGAGAGGUCGUUGGAAACUAAUUAGCUUGAGGUGAUGAGAGGGGUGCGGAAUUCCCGGUGUAGUGGUGGAAUGCGUAGAUAUCGGGAGGAACACCAGUGGCGAAAGCGGCACCCUGGCAUUUACCUGACGCUCAUGUACGAAAGCGUGGGGAGCGAACGGGAUUAGAUACCCCGGUAGUCCACGCCGUAAACGAUGAACACUAGGUGUAGGUGGCAUCAAACCCAUCUGUGCCGAAGCAAACGCGAUAAGUGUUCCGCCUGGGGAGUACGGCCGCAAGGCUAAAACUCAAAGGAAUUGACGGGGGCCCGCACAAGCAGCGGAGCGUGUGGUUUAAUUCGAUCAUACGCGAAGACCCUUACCUAGCCUUGACAUUGAUUGAAUUCGAUAGAGAUAUUGAAGUGCCCUUUUGGGAACAUGAAAACAGGUGCUGCACGGCUGUCGUCAGCUCGUGUCGUGAGAUGUUGGGUCAAGUCCCGCAACGAGCGCAACCCUCGUGACUAGUUACUAACGGUUUGGCCGAGGACUCUAGUCAGACUGCCUUCGUAAGGAGGAGGAAGGUGAGGACGACGUCAAGUCAUCAUGGCCCUUACGGCUAGGGCGACACACGUGCUACAAUGGUUAGGACAAUGAGAGGCAAUACCGCGAGGUGGAGCAAAUCUAUAAACCUAAUCUCAGUUCGGAUUGUAGUCUGCAACUCGACUACAUGAAGCUGGAAUCACUAGUAAUCGUAGAUCAGCCAUGCUACGGUGAAUACGUUCCCGGGUCUUGUACUCACCGCCCGUCACACCAUGGGAGUUGAUUUCACCCGAAGCGGGGAAGCUAAACUGGCUACCCUCCACGGUGGAAUUAGCGACUGGGGUGAAGUCGUAACAAGGUA
This 1487-nucleotide ribosomal RNA is filed under the name metagenome. RNAcentral describes it as "bacterial SSU rRNA". It matches the Rfam family "Bacterial small subunit ribosomal RNA". The record is from RNAcentral.